AGCGAACGCUGGCGGCAGGCUUAACACAUGCAAGUCGAGCGGGCAUCUUCGGAUGUCCGCGGCAGGCGGGUGCGUAACACGUGGGAACGUACCCUUCGGUUCGGAACAACUCUGGGAAACUGGAGCUAAUACCGGAUACGCCCUUAUGGGGAAAGGUUUACUGCCGAAGGAUCGGCCCGCGUCUGAUUAGCUAGUUGGUGGGGUAACGGCCUACCAAGGCGACGAUCAGUAGCUGGUCUGAGAGGAUGAUCAGCCACACUGGGACUGAGACACGGCCCAGACUCCUACGGGAGGCAGCAGUGGGGAAUAUUGGACAAUGGGCGCAAGCCUGAUCCAGCCAUGCCGCGUGAGUGAUGAAGGCCUUAGGGUUGUAAAGCUCUUUUGUCCGGGACGAUAAUGACGGUACCGGAAGAAUAAGCCCCGGCUAACUUCGUG
RNAcentral lists this ribosomal RNA (435 nucleotides) under uncultured bacterium. RNAcentral's name for it is "partial 16S ribosomal RNA". It matches the Rfam family "Bacterial small subunit ribosomal RNA", at positions 29 to 507 of the family's 1533-position model. The record is from RNAcentral.